UUCCGGUUGAUCCUGCCGGACCCCACUGCUAUCGGGAUAGGACUAAGACAUGCUAGUCGUGUGCCUCAGCCAAAACGAGGCACGGCGCACAGCUCAGUAACACGUGGCUAACCUGCCCUUAGGACGAGAAUAACCCCGGGAAACUGGGGUUAAUGCUCGAUAGGUGAAGAACUCUGGAAUGAGUCUUCACUUAAAAGAGUCUGCGUUAUGCUCGUAGAUUUCGCUUAAGGAUGGGGCCGCGACCGAUCAGGUUGUUGGUGAGGUAAUGGCUCACCAAGCCUUUUACCGGUGCGGGCCGUGAGAGCGGGAGCCCGGAGAUGGGCACUGAGACAAGGGCCCAGGCCCUACGGGGCGCAGCAGUCGCGAAAACUUUGCAAUACACGAAAGUGUGACAGGGCUAUCCCGAGUGCCAUCCGCUGAGGAAGGCUUUUACCCAGUCUAGAAAGCUGGGAGAAUAAGGAGAGGGCAAGUCUGGUGUCAGCCGCCGCGGUAAUACCAGCUCUCCGAGUGGUGUGGAUGUUUAUUGGGCCUAAAGCGUCCGUAGCUGGCUAAGUUAGUCCCCUGCUAAAUCCAACGAAUUAAUCGUUGGAUCGCGGGGGAUACUGCUUGGCUAGGGGACGAGAGAGGCAGACGGUAUUUCCGGGGCAGGGGUGAAAUCCUAUAAUCCCGGGAAGACCACCAGUGGCGAAGGCUGUCUGCUAGAACGCGCCCGACGGUGAGGGAUGAAAGCUGGGGGAGCGAACCGGAUUAGAUACCCGGGUAGUCCCAGCUGUGAACGAUGCAGGCUAGGUGUUUGGACGGCCACGUGCCGUUCUAGUGCCGCAGGGAAGCUGUUAAGCCUGCCGCCUGGGGAGUACGAUCGCAAGAUUGAAACUUAAAGGAAUUGGCGGGGGAGCACCACAAGGGGUGAAGCUUGUGGUUUAAUUGGAUUCAACGCCGG
RNAcentral lists this ribosomal RNA (940 nucleotides) under archaeon enrichment culture clone C1-1C-A. Its description in RNAcentral is "bacterial SSU rRNA". It matches the Rfam family "Archaeal small subunit ribosomal RNA", at positions 1 to 921 of the family's 1478-position model. The record is from RNAcentral.